ACGACUCUCGGCAAUGGAUAUCUCGGCUCUCGCAUCGAUGAAGAACGUAGCGAAAUGCGAUACUUGGUGUGAAUUGCAGAAUCCCGUGAACCAUCGAGUUUUUGAACGCAAGUUGCGCCCAAAGCCAAUAGGCUGAGGGCACGUCUGCCUGGGCGUCAC
RNAcentral lists this ribosomal RNA (159 nucleotides) under Berberis fendleri. Its description in RNAcentral is "5.8S ribosomal RNA". It matches the Rfam family "5.8S ribosomal RNA". From Rfam's summary of the family: 5.8S ribosomal RNA (5.8S rRNA) is a component of the large subunit of the eukaryotic ribosome. It is transcribed by RNA polymerase I as part of the 45S precursor that also contains 18S and 28S rRNA. Functionally, it is thought that 5.8S rRNA may be involved in ribosome translocation. The record is from RNAcentral. Lineage: Eukaryota; Viridiplantae; Streptophyta; Magnoliopsida; Ranunculales; Berberidaceae.